Acanthosepion pharaonis is the source of this 96-nucleotide non-coding RNA. NCBI's taxonomy places the organism in Eukaryota, Metazoa, Mollusca, Cephalopoda, Sepiida, Sepiidae. The record is from the annotation of a GenBank genome assembly.
GUUGAAACACCAGUUCCCGUACGAUCAUCGAAGUUAAGCAACGUCGAGCCUGAUCAGUACCUAGAUGGGUGACCGCUUGGGAAUACCAGGUACAGU